AUGCCGCGUGAGUGAUGAAGGCCUUCGGGUUGUAAGCUCUUUUGGCGGGGACGAUGANACGGUACCCGCAGAAUAAGCCCCGGCUAACUUCGUGCCAGCAGCCGCGGUAAGACGAAGGGGGCUAGCGUUGUUCGGAAUUACUGGGCGUAAAGCGCGUGUAGGCGGUUGUCCAAGUCGGGUGUGAAAGCCUUGAGCUCAACUCAAGAAAUGCACUCGAUACUGGGCGACUUGAGGACCGGAGAGGAUAGUGGAAUUCCCAGUGUAGUGGUGAAAUACGUAGAGAUUGGGAAGAACACCAGUGGCGAAAGCGGCUAUCUGGACGGUUACUGACGCUAAGACGCGAAAACGUGGGGAGCAAACAGGAUUAGAUACCCUGGUAGUCCAAGCCGUAAACGAUGGGUGCUAGACGUUGGCGAGCUUGCUCGUCAGUGUCGCAGCUAACGCGUUUAGCACCCCGCCUGGGGAGUACGGGCGCAAUGUUGAAACUCAAAGGAAUUGACGGGGGCCCGCACAAGCGGUGGAGCCUGUGGUUCAAUUCGA
RNAcentral lists this ribosomal RNA (540 nucleotides) under uncultured bacterium. RNAcentral's name for it is "bacterial SSU rRNA". It matches the Rfam family "Bacterial small subunit ribosomal RNA", at positions 394 to 954 of the family's 1533-position model. The record is from RNAcentral.